Long non-coding RNA from Acomys russatus (golden spiny mouse), 261 nucleotides. RefSeq lists it as uncharacterized. The record is from RefSeq and is a predicted model, not a curated record. The transcript is spliced from 3 exons. NCBI's taxonomy places the organism in Eukaryota, Metazoa, Chordata, Mammalia, Rodentia, Muridae.
UCUUCACAGUCAAAAAAGCCAAGUUUGAUGGUGCCCAAGAGAAGUUCAACACAUACGUGACGCUGAAGGUGCAGAACGUGAAGAGCACUACCAUUGCUGUGCGUGGCAGCCAGCCAAGCUGGGAGCAGGACUUCAUGUUGUGAUGAGAUUAACCGCCUGGAUCUGGGCCUGACGGUGGAGGUGUGGAACAAGGGUCUCAUCUGGGAUACGAUGGUGGGCACUGUCUGGAUCCCGCUUCGCACCAUCCGCCAGUCCAAUGAG